This 253-nucleotide ribosomal RNA is filed under the name uncultured bacterium. RNAcentral describes it as "partial 16S ribosomal RNA". It matches the Rfam family "Bacterial small subunit ribosomal RNA", at positions 524 to 776 of the family's 1533-position model. The record is from RNAcentral.
UACGUAGGGGGCGAGCGUUGUCCGGAUUUAUUGGGCGUAAAGAGCGUGUAGGCGGCCAGGUAGGUCUGCUGUGAAAACUCGAGGCUCAACCUCGAGACGUCGGCGGAAACCAUCUGGCUAGAGUCCGGAAGAGGAGAGUGGAAUUCCUGGUGUAGCGGUGAAAUGCGCAGAUAUCAGGAGGAAUACCGGUGGCGAAGGCGGCAUCCUGGACCGGCAUUGACGCUGAUGAGCGAAAGCCAGGGGAGCAAACGGG